CCCAUAAUUUAUAUAUUGCUUGCCAAAGAGCACAGCUAUUAAAUGGCACUCGGGUUUGCUUAGUGCUACAUUUUCUCUUCUUUUCCCUUCAUGACAAGGGAAUUCUGCCAAAUUGUGGAGGGAAAAAAAAAUCACCUGCUAUUAUUUCUGUCAUCUUAAUGCUGCAAAAUAAUCUUCACAUUUAGUGGCAUGAAACAACCACCGUGUUCUUAUCCUCACCAAGUCUGCAGAUCAGAGAUUUGGACAUGACACUGACUUUACCAGUUUGCAAAUUCUGGGGGCCUCUGAAAAGCCUUGGGUGAGUAGCAAUGAGUUCAGUGUUGGGUAAUAGAAUUACCCGGAGGCGUCUUCAUUUAUUAUUUGGUGUGUCAACUGGGGUAAUUCAAAGUAUGAGUUCAAAAUUGUUGACAAACAGAUCUGAAUACAGUUUCUCCAUGUAACUUAGACUUCUUCACAGCAUGGAAGCAUAAAAGUAGUUGAGCUAGUAGGUGGGUGAAGGAUCCAAGAAUGAGUGUUCUAGGAAGUAUGCAUAUGGCCUUUUAUGACCUAGCAUCAGAAUUCACACAGAACUACUUCAGCAAAAGGCUAUGGGUUGAAGCAAUCACAAGCUAGUCUGACUUUAGGGGAAAAAACACAGUAUUUACAGCCAUUAACCAUGUAUCUUCUUCUUCAAGGGAAGACCAGUUGUCAGCAGUGGACGGAUUUGAACACAGUUUGUUAAUGUUACAUAUGCAUUUUUUUCUCGUCUUCCUUGUCAUUAUACUCUUUUUGUGAGAAAGGAUCAAAGUGUAAGCGUUGUCUGCUCUCAAAGUUGAUGUAGCCAUCUAUGUGAUUACUUUGGACUUCAGAAGAAAAAAUGGAAGAAGAAAAAGUUCAGGGAAAUGGACAAUAGAGCAAUCUUAAAGGAGAUAUUAAAACACCAGAAAGUGGAAGAAGCACUAAAUAGUCUUUCAAGAAAUAGAAGCAAUUCCCAGAAAGGGUGUAGCCUCCAUCUGGCAACAGGAUUCUCAAAGAAUAAGGAGAGAAUAUCGGGACAUGGACAUUCAUCCUCCUACCAAGUCCUCUGGAUUGGUUCUGUUCUCAGAUAGUCUUUCUUAAAAAUGUGGAAAGUAUGCGGUGUUUUAAUCUGUUUGGACUCAUAAAGAAUUGCCACAGAAUGAAUGAAUUCAACAGUAGAAAUUUAUUUGCUUACAGUUCUGAAGCCUAGAAGUCCAAGAUCAGGGUAUUAGCAGAUUUGGUUUCUUCUGAUACAUGUCCCCUUGUCUUGCAGGUGGUCACCUUCUUGCCAUAUCCUUACAUGGUUUUCUGUAGGUCCAUAAGCUAAUUUUCUCUUCUUAUAAGAACACCAUUCAUAUUGGGUUAGGGUUCACCCAUAUGAUCUCAUUUUACCUUGAUAACUGUUUUAAAGG
Molecule: long non-coding RNA, 1409 nt
Filed under: Vulpes vulpes (red fox)
Lineage: Eukaryota; Metazoa; Chordata; Mammalia; Carnivora; Canidae
Description: lncRNA (ENSVVUG00000014212.1)
Source: RNAcentral